AGAGUUUGAUCCUGGCUCAGAUUGAACGCUGGCGGCAUGCCUUACACAUGCAAGUCGAACGGCAGCACGGGGGCAACCCUGGUGGCGAGUGGCGAACGGGUGAGUAAUGCAUCGGAACGUGUCCUGUCGUGGGGGAUAACCAGUCGAAAGACUGGCUAAUACCGCAUGAGAUCGAGAGAUGAAAGCGGGGGACCGCAAGGCCUCGCGCGAUAGGAGCGGCCGAUGCCGGAUUAGCUAGUUGGCGGGGUAAAAGCCCACCAAGGCUACGAUCCGUAGCUGGUUUGAGAGAACGACCAGCCACACUGGGACUGAGACACGGCCCAGACUCCUACGGGAGGCAGCAGUGGGGAAUUUUGGACAAUGGGCGCAAGCCUGAUCCAGCCAUGCCGCGUGUGUGAAGAAGGCCUUCGGGUUGUAAAGCACUUUCGGCCGGAACGAAAUCGCGCGGGUGAAUAUCCCGCGUGGAUGACGGUACCGGAAGAAGAAGCACCGGCUAACUACGUGCCAGCAGCCGCGGUAAUACGUAGGGUGCGAGCGUUAAUCGGAAUUACUGGGCGUAAAGGGUGCGCAGGCGGCUUCGCAUGUCAGAUGUGAAAUCCCCGAGCUUAACUUGGGAAUUGCAUUUGAAACUACGAGGCUGGAGUGCGGCAGAGGGAGGUGGAAUUCCACGUAGCGGUGAAAUGCGUAGAGAUGUGGAGGAACACCGAUGGCGAAGGCAGCCUCCUGGGCCGACACUGACGCUCAUGCACGAAAGCGUGGGGAGCAAACAGGAUUAGAUACCCUAGUAGUCC
RNAcentral lists this ribosomal RNA (791 nucleotides) under uncultured bacterium. RNAcentral's name for it is "bacterial SSU rRNA". It matches the Rfam family "Bacterial small subunit ribosomal RNA", at positions 8 to 796 of the family's 1533-position model. The record is from RNAcentral.